AUGCUCACUUCGGCACCACAUUUAUUAAAAUUGCAAUGAUACAGAGAUUAGCAUGGCUCCUGAGCAAGGAUGACAUGCAAUAUAAAAUUCAAAUCGAAAAAAUGUUU
Molecule: small nuclear RNA, 107 nt
Organism: Homo sapiens (human)
Lineage: Eukaryota; Metazoa; Chordata; Mammalia; Primates; Hominidae
Source: Ensembl